CCUACGGGAGGCAGCAGUGAGGAAUAUUGGUCAAUGGUCGGGAGACUGAACCAGCCAAGCCGCGUGAGGGAGGAAGGUACAGAGUAUCGUAAACCUCUUUUGUCAGGGAACAAAGACUGGGACGCGUCCCCGGAUGAGUGUACCUGAAGAAAAAGCAUCGGCUAACUCCGUGCCAGCAGCCGCGGUAAUACGGAGGAUGCGAGCGUUAUCCGGAUUUAGUGGGUUUAAGGGGUGCGCGGGCGUUCUUGUAAGUCAGCGGUAAAAGCGCGGGGUGCAACCCCGGCCCGCCGUUGAAACGGGCAGUCUCGAGUUGGAGAGAAGUAUGCGGAAUGCGCGGUGUAGCGGUGAAAUGCAGAGAUAUCGCGCAGAACUCCGAUUGCGAAGGCAGCAUGCCGGCUCCACACGGACGCUGAGGCACGAAAGCGUGGGUAUCGAACAGGAUUAGAUACCCUAGUAGUC
Molecule: ribosomal RNA, 459 nt
Filed under: uncultured bacterium
Lineage: Bacteria
Description: partial 16S ribosomal RNA
Rfam family: Bacterial small subunit ribosomal RNA
Source: RNAcentral